Molecule: ribosomal RNA, 425 nt
Filed under: uncultured bacterium
Lineage: Bacteria
Description: partial 16S ribosomal RNA
Rfam family: Bacterial small subunit ribosomal RNA
Source: RNAcentral
GUUAGGAAUAUUGGACAAUGGGCGCAAGCCUGAUCCAGCCAUGCCGCGUGAGUGAUGAAGGCCUUCGGGUUGUAAAGCUCUUUAGUCCACGAAUAUAAUGACUGUAGUGGAAGAAUAAGCCCCGGCUAACUUCGUGCCAGCAGCCGCGGUAAUACGAAGGGGGCGAGCGUUAUUCGGAAUCACUGGGCGUAAAGCGUGCGUAGGCUGUUUUGUAAGUCAGAAGUGAAAGCCCAGGGCUUAACCCUGGAAUUGCUUUUGAAACUACAAGACUCGAAUUCGGGAGAGGAUAGCGGAAUUGUCAGUGUAGCAGUGAAAUGCGUAGAUAUUGACAGGAACACCAGUGGCGCAAGCGGCUAUCUGGAUGAGUAUUGACGCUGAGGCACGAAAGCGUGGGGAUCAAACAGGAUUAGAAACCCUAGUAGUCC